CGUGAAGGGGCUCCCAUGGGCGCUGGCAUAAACCUUGGCAGGCUCGUAGCCCAGCUUCCCCCGGGACAAGGUGACCCCACAGCCCCCAGGGACCCUGCAACCUCUGCAGCUCCCGCAGCCCCGGCAUCCCCCAGGGACCCUGCAGCCCCCACAGCCCCUGCGGACCCUGCAGACCCCAGACCCUGCCUCCCCCCCAAGCACCCGGCAGGGGCAGGGGGCAGGCAGCAAGCCGGGGCUGUGCUCCCGCUCCCGCUGCAGGUGGGGGCCAGCCCUGCCCCGGCGGCCGCAGGGCACAGAGCGGGAUGCUGCCUGUCACCGCGGCCUGAUGGAGCUGUCACACUUGGCAGCUCCGGCCGGUCUCCUUGGCUGGCUGCUCUCCUGAGACAUCUGCUGCCACCGCGGGCCUGGGAAAGGCUCUGCUCCCCCGCCAGCCGUGCGCUCCGCGGCCAGGAAGGGCACCCGGGAUUUUGGCGCGCUGCUGAGAUGUCCGGCGCGGGGAUACUGCGGCUCAGCGGAAAGUUUUUGCUGAGCCCAGCACAAGGCUGCCGUGUCUGGUUUCAGGAAGGUGAGCGCUCUCUGCUCAGACGCUGUCACCUCCCUGCUGGGACAGGACGCAUGGGCUCGGGGGUCCGACCAGCUGGCAGAUCACUCCUGGAGCUGUUCUCAGGGCACGUCUGGCUCUGGGGAGUGAAGAACUGGGAGAUGGUGGUGCUGUGCCCCAUGCGGGUCUGCCCCUGGCACAGAUCCCAUGCUGUGCCCCAGGGGACAGCCGACCUACAGGACGUAAGUGGGCUCUGGUGGGCUCCGGCAGCCUACUGGGGGGCACAGCAGCCACCAAGCCCCUGUGUCCCCCUCGCUCGCCCUGCACAGUUGGAGCUGGGAGGGUUAAAAUGCCCGGCAGCUCUCCGAGGAGGGCUCCUGCUUCCCUCCACGUGGGCAGGGGAGCGGGGUAGGGCUGAGCAGAGCAGCGUCGGGCUGCAGCCUCCGGCACAAUGCAGCAGGCACUGCGCUGGCCCCGGCUGCCCUGGAGCAUCCUGCAGGGAGCAGCCCUGGCACCAGCGCAGGGACUGCCCUGGCCCCCUCCCAAACCUCUGGGAGCGAGGGGCGGCAGGCAGAGCCCUCCUGCCGACGGAGGAGGAGGCGACGCUGGAGCAGAGCUUCCCAUCAGCACCUUAUAUUUACUGCAAGGUCCUCUGGCUGUGACCUUUAAAAGACAAGGUGGCCUGGCAGCCCGGAGCCGUCAGCCACUCGGCAGGAGCUGGGCCAGGUGCGCCGAGCAGCGGGCUGGGAGCUGAGCGAGAGGUCCGGGCACGCAGACUGCGGUGAGUGCUUGGCUGCCUUUGUCGCCCUCCGCCCUCCCUUGCCUGCAGCUCUCCCCCCAGCAAUGCUUUCCUCUCCCCUGCCUCCCUCUGCCACGCAGAGCCAUCCGUCCCGCUGCUGGCCCGCUCCCCGGGGAGCGAAGCUGCCAGCCCCCCCUUCUGCAGACCCUUUAAAGCAGGGCAAGAGGAGCGGUGACCCGGGAGGCACUGCAGGGGCAGCUGCACUGGGACAGCCGUGUCCCUGCAGAAAGUUUUUGACUCGACGCAGCCCGAGGCCACUUCAGCGGGACCUCGGAGGCUGCGGUGCUGCCCUCACACCCUCCUCAGCUC
This 1649-nucleotide long non-coding RNA is filed under the name Anser brachyrhynchus (Pink-footed goose). RNAcentral's name for it is "lncRNA (ENSABRG00000013491.1)". Lineage: Eukaryota; Metazoa; Chordata; Aves; Anseriformes; Anatidae. The record is from RNAcentral.